AGUAUCGGGAAACUGGGGGGGUAGGGGUUGUCGCGUGACCUUCGAAGGGGCGUGCACGCCCAAGUGCUCUCUCUCAAUCCACCUCACCCCUUUGUGCAUCACCGCGUGGGCCACCUUUUUGGCUUGUUUCAAAGAGGUUUGGGUCGCGUUUUUACACACGCCUUUAUGUAUAGAAUGUCUUACUUUUUGCGGUCACACGCAAUAAAUAAAUACAACUUUCAACAACGGAUCUCUUGGCUCUCGCAUCGAUGAAGAACGCAGCGAAAUGCGAUACGUAAUGUGAAUUGCAGAAUUCAGUGAAUCAUCGAAUCUUUGAACGCACCUUGCGCCCCUUGGUAUUCCGAGGGGCACACCCGUUUGAGUGUCGUGAACACAUCCUCAACCUUCUUUUGGUCUUUUGACCAUGGAAGGCUUGGACUUUGGAGGUCUUUCAUUGCUGGUAUCCUUUUAAAGCCAGCUCCUCCUAAAUGAAUCAGUGGGAUCCGCUUUGGUGAUCCUCGACGUGAUAAGCAUUAUUCUACGUCUUGGGGUUUUCACAGCAACCUGCUUCCAACCGUCUUUUAAACAAAAGACAAUGUUCGGGGUUUCGACUCGACCCACAAAAACCUUUGACCUCAAAUCGUGGUGAGACUACCCGCUGG
Molecule: unclassified non-coding RNA, 641 nt
Filed under: uncultured fungus
Lineage: Eukaryota; Fungi
Description: partial contains ITS1, 5.8S rRNA and ITS2
Rfam family: 5.8S ribosomal RNA (bases 214-367)
Source: RNAcentral